UGGGGAAUAUUGGACAAUGGGCGAAAGCCUGAUCCAGCCAUGCCGCGUGUGUGAAGAAGGUCUUCGGAUUGUAAAGCACUUUAAGUUGGGAGGAAGGGCAGUUACCUAAUACGUGAUUGUUUUGACGUUACCGACAGAAUAAGCACCGGCUAACUCUGUGCCAGCAGCCGCGGUAAUACAGAGGGUGCAAGCGUUAAUCGGAAUUACUGGGCGUAAAGCGCGCGUAGGUGGGUUGUUAAGUUGGAUGUGAAAUCCCCGGGCUCAACCUGGGAACUGCAUUCAAAACUGACUGACUAGAGUAUGGUAGAGGGUGGUGGAAUUUCCUGUGUAGCGGUGAAAUGCGUAGAUAUAGGAAGGAACACCAGUGGCGAAGGCGACCACCUGGACUAAUACUGACACUGAGGUGCGAAAGCGUGGGGAGCAAACA
RNAcentral lists this ribosomal RNA (427 nucleotides) under uncultured bacterium. RNAcentral describes it as "partial 16S ribosomal RNA". It matches the Rfam family "Bacterial small subunit ribosomal RNA", at positions 355 to 774 of the family's 1533-position model. The record is from RNAcentral.